AUUCUUUAAAAAAUCUUACAAAAGUGUCUUUUUUUUUUUUUUGUUUUUGUUUAAUUGUUCGUUCUACUAUAUCUCUCCCUCUUUCUAUAUAUAUGAAUAUAUAAAUACACAACAUUUUUUGUUCUUUCGUAGUUUUUUAUUUUUUUUUUUUUUACUUUUGUCUUUCGUUUCCCGCUUAUCCUUUUUUUAUUUUUUUUUUUUUUUCCCAUUUUUAAUAAACCUGUUUUAACAAUGUAUUUCCAUAAAAUUUUGUUUCCUUUGUUUUUGUUUAAUUUUUUUUUAAACAAGUGUGCACCAAUUAUUUAUAGUAACAACUUUAACAAAUGGACCAAAGAGCUUUCAAAAAUAUCAAAAAAAGAGUACCAUAAUUUAAGUGAUAUAAAUGAUUUAACUAAUAGAAAAUAUUGUGGUAGUUCUUUAAAACAUUUAGCAGGACUAAUUUUGGAUAAAUCGGAUAAAGAAGCAAAAUUAAUUAUUGAAGGAUCUAUUUUUUUUAAUAAAUUAACAUUAAGUUAGGUAAUACAAAAGAAAAAGAAAUAGAUAUAAAAAAUAUUAUUUUACCAAUAGAAACUUUAUCAAAUAAAUGUAUAAACAUCAGACAAACUGAACAAAAUGAAGAAUCAACUAUUCUUUGUUUAAGCAGUAAAGUACUUCGAAAUUUUUGGAUUAAUUCGAUAACUGAUGCUGUUCUAUGUAAAAUGACAAAAAUUAAAGGGAAAUUACCCGAGUUUGAUUAUUUGAAUGAAGACGAUGAAAAAAAAAAACAAACAACAGGAUGAAGGUGAAGAUGACGAAAAAAAUGACGAACAAACCAAAACAGAAGAAGACAAAAUUAAAUCUAGAUUUAAUAAUGAAGAAUUUGAUGACGAAAAAGAAGAAGGAAAGAAAGGUGUACAACUUCGAAUACCAAAAAGUAAAUAUGGUCAACCAGACAUAAAAAUAAAUGGGAAGACUAUUAAAGAAAUUAAAGAAGGCAACAAAAAUGAAGAAAGCGCAAAUAAAGGAAGCGCAAAUGAAGGAAGCGCAAAUGAAGGAAGCGAAAAUGGAAAGAGCAAAAAUGAGAAAAGUGAAAGUGAGAAAAGUGAAAGCGACAGGCCUGAGGAAUAUGAAAAUGCAUCAGAUCAAAUAGAUGGUGAUGAUGAAACCAUUGAAUCAUAAGAGAAAAAAUUAGGGGAUUAAAAUUAGUUACAAGGCGAAAAAAUCCCCUUUUUGUAAUUCAUUCCUCUUUUUUAUUCAUUAAACAAUGAUAAUUUUUUUGUGUCAAUUUUCAUAUGUGUUGUUUUUAUGGGAAGACACGUACACAUGUAUACAUAUGUAUAUGUAUACAUAUUUAAUUAUUUUUAUAAGUGCUUACAAUUGUAAAUUUUUUUUUUUUUUGUUUUUUUUUUUUUUUUUUGUCACCCCUCCCCCCUAAUUUCCUUAUGUAAAGCACAUAAGGAAUACCCGCAUAAACUACAUACUUCAUAAAUGAAGAGAGUAAUAAAAUUCUUUUAUCUUAUCA
Molecule: long non-coding RNA, 1501 nt
Filed under: Piliocolobus tephrosceles (Ugandan red Colobus)
Lineage: Eukaryota; Metazoa; Chordata; Mammalia; Primates; Cercopithecidae
Description: lncRNA (ENSPTEG00000007375.1)
Source: RNAcentral